GCUUACAGCCAUACCACCCAGAGCAAGCCCGACCUCGUCUGAUCUCGGAAGCUCAGCAGGGUCGGGCCUGGUUAGUACUUGGAUGGGAGACCGCCUGGGAAUACCAGGUGCUGUAAGCG
Ribosomal RNA from Betta splendens (Siamese fighting fish), 119 nucleotides. Lineage: Eukaryota; Metazoa; Chordata; Actinopteri; Anabantiformes; Osphronemidae. The record is from Ensembl.